AAGACUUUAGUAAAAUAGUAUUACACCACCUUGUCAGGGUGAAAUUAUGAGUUUAAAUCCCAUAAGUCUUA
This 71-nucleotide transfer RNA is filed under the name Pateobatis hortlei (Hortle's whipray). RNAcentral's name for it is "tRNA-Asp". It matches the Rfam family "tRNA". From Rfam's summary of the family: Transfer RNA (tRNA) molecules are approximately 80 nucleotides in length. Their secondary structure includes four short double-helical elements and three loops (D, anti-codon, and T loops). The record is from RNAcentral. Lineage: Eukaryota; Metazoa; Chordata; Chondrichthyes; Myliobatiformes; Dasyatidae.